RNAcentral lists this ribosomal RNA (232 nucleotides) under uncultured archaeon. RNAcentral describes it as "partial 16S ribosomal RNA". It matches the Rfam family "Archaeal small subunit ribosomal RNA", at positions 321 to 557 of the family's 1478-position model. The record is from RNAcentral.
CCCUACGGGGCGCAGCAGGCGCGAAAACUUUACAAUGCGGGCAACCGUGAUAAGGGAACCUCGAGUGCCUGUAAAUGCAGGCUGUUUAGGUGUUUAAAACGCACCUGGAGAAAGGGCCGGGCAAGACCGGUGCCAGCCGCCGCGGUAAUACCGGCGGUUCGAGUGGUGGCCGCUUUUAUUGGGCUUAAAGCGUUCGUAGCUGGGUUGUUAAGUCUCUUGGGAAAUCUGGCGG